This 439-nucleotide ribosomal RNA is filed under the name uncultured bacterium. Its description in RNAcentral is "partial 16S ribosomal RNA". It matches the Rfam family "Bacterial small subunit ribosomal RNA", at positions 339 to 795 of the family's 1533-position model. The record is from RNAcentral.
CUACGGGUUGCUGCAGUGGGGAAUUUUGCGCAAUGGGCGAAAGCCUGACGCAGCAAUACCGCGUGAGUGAAGAAGGCCUUUGGGUCGUAAAGCUCUUUUGUAAGGGAAGAUAGUGACGGUACCUUACGAAUAAGCACCGGCUAACUCCGUGCCAGCAGCCGCGGUAAUACGGAGGGUGCAAGCGUUGUUCGGAUUUACUGGGCGUAAAGGGCACGUAGGCGGCAUAGUAAGUUAAGGGUGAAAUCCCGGGGCUCAACUCCGGAACUGCUCUUAAAACUGCUAAGCUAGAGAUAGUCAGAGGCGGGUAGAAUUCCUGGUGUAGAGGUGAAAUUCGUAGAUAUCAGGAGGAAUACCGGUGGCGAAGGCGGCCCGCUGGGGCUAUUCUGACGCUAAUGUGCGAAAGCGUGGGGAGCGAACGGGAUUAGAUACCCUCGUAGUC